CUUCAUCCUCCUCUACCUCCUGAUCCUCCUGGUGGUGGGGCUCCCCCUCUUCUUCCUGGAGCUGGCGGCCGGGCAGAGCAUCCGCCAGGGCAGCAUCGGGGUCUGGCAGCACUUCAGCCCCCGCCUGGUCGGCAUCGGCUUCGCCAGCUGCGUGGUCUGCGGGUUCGUUUCUCUCUAUUACAACGUGAUCAUCGCCUGGAGCCUCUUCUACCUCGGUAACUCCUUCCGCGCCACCCUGCCCUGGGCCAGCUGCCCCCUCGGUGCCAACCACAGCCAGCCAGAACCCGAAUGUGCCCAGAGCUCCCCCACCACCUACUUCUGGUACCGGAAGGCGCUGGACGUGAGCGAGUCGAUCGGUGUCAGCGGGGGGG
Long non-coding RNA from Terrapene triunguis (Three-toed box turtle), 371 nucleotides. RefSeq lists it as uncharacterized. The transcript is spliced from 3 exons. The record is from RefSeq and is a predicted model, not a curated record. NCBI's taxonomy places the organism in Eukaryota, Metazoa, Chordata, Testudines, Emydidae.